Long non-coding RNA from Lactuca sativa (garden lettuce), 3981 nucleotides. RefSeq lists it as uncharacterized. Lineage: Eukaryota; Viridiplantae; Streptophyta; Magnoliopsida; Asterales; Asteraceae. The record is from RefSeq and is a predicted model, not a curated record.
UUUCGCCACAUUAGGUUUCUCCAAAUUCUCCAUAACAAUCAACACUUUUAAAAUUUUACCCCCAUGAUCGCUUCCAUAAGUUUCUACCAUUUCUUCAGACUUCUCUUCUUGACAUCUCAUACGCUUCUCAAUCAAGAAUUCUGAAUACGCUUCUCAAUCAACAAUUCCGAAUUUGAAUUAUGGGUUUGACAUCUCAUACACCUUAUCAAUCAAGAACUUAGAAUUUCAACUUCUCUUGCCAAAAAACGGUUGUUGCUGCCUCCAACCAUCUACAAUCAGUUGAAAUUUGAAGUCUGGACUCCUCUUCUUUUUCUGUUUUCCGACUGUGUGGAUUUGAGAUCUCCUACGGCUUCUCUAUCAAUAAAUUAGGAUUUCAAAUAUGGGUUUGACAUCUCCGACGACGCCUUCUGUUGCCGCCUCCAAUAAUCUACACUCAAUUGCAAUUUCAAUUCUUGUGAUUCAUCAGCAGUUUGUUGAUUUGGUAAAAGGCUUACUUUAGCAUGUCCGCAUAUUGAAGAAUAAAGUGCAAAAGUUCCACCUAUAUAUGUUGUCAAGGAUUUUCAUUAAUGAUAUAAGGAGACUAGGAAUAUCUAUCUAUUGCUGUGACAAAUUCUGGUAUGUUGAAGGCUACGAAUUUCUAUUUGUUUCUAUGACGAAUUAUGGUAUGUCGUAUAAUGUAUCAAUUAUAUUGUGAUUUUCAAUUCAAUUGCUAUUCCUUCUAAUCCUUCCGUGUUUUUGAGCGAUGUCUUCGACUUUGUGGGUUUGACCGUCGGUGCUCAAUUACCACCACAAACAGCAUGUGCUCUUUGUUGUAUUUUUGAAUUUCGAGCCUCUCAACCACCAUCUUUUUCUCCAAGCACUUAGAAUUUGGACUCAAACAAUUACGACUCAUAAGGUAUGUCAAUUGUGAACUCUUUCUUGCUUUCAAUACAUAACAACUUUCUCUAAUCUUUGUGAAUAUGUGCAAAUUCCCAACACCAUCAUAUUAAUUCGUUCUUUCUUUGAUUACAAAAUCUGUGUUUGACGUUUCCACCGUCUUUAUCUUCGAGCACUUACAACUAGGAAUCCAACAAUUCCAAUUAAUAAGGUUUGACGUUUUUGUCGCCAACAAACGGUUCUGCUUUGUAUCCGCCUUCAACCGACUACACUCAAUUACAAUUUGAAUUUCUAGUAAAUGCCUUCUUGUGAUGCCUCCAAAACGACGACAAAUGGCUUCUACUUCCAAUACGAUAGUCCCCCGUCGUUCAUGCAAGAGUUCACUUUUAGAAGAGACACCAAGUUUGCAUGUUUAUUAUGAUUGUGGGAAUUGUUCCAGUGUGUGUAAUUUUGACCACUGACUUUACCGGAACCACUGCAACGUUUUAAAGGGUUGACAAAGAAUGUUUUUGUACAAUGCACAAAACUUCCAUCAACUAAAAAUAUCCGUUUCAUAGUCACCACAACCAAUGAUAUAAAAAGUCCACAACCAACUAUCAAUUCAACUAGAAGACCACCAACUACACCUUCGACAACAAUGGACCAACAAACCACUACAAAUAUGGAGUCCUUCACCCCUACUAAAUCAUGUGAAACAGGAAAAUGCCUCCAAUUAGAACAUCCAGAUACUACACAGAAAACAUCAUGUCCCAAAUGAAUGAAAUACAAAAACCACAGCGAAGUGGACGAAGAAACACAUGACAAAAAGCAGUAAAACUAUAUGAUAUUUUCAAAACAUACAUAGACUUACUUUAAUUCAACACAUUAUCUUUAUAAACACUAAUUUGUAAUUAUUCAGUAAAACUCGGGAUGAACAUAUACAAAAAACCUGUUGUAAUCUUUUGUUGUAUUUAUGAAUUUGUUUGAUAUCAAAUAAUAUUUAAUUUCACUUCAAAAGGACUAAGAGGUUCAACAAGAGCACAUUUGUGUUUAUUUUUUUAUUCGUUGUUUAAAAUGUUUUAUGCACAAAAAAUAGCAAUAUGUUUCCUGUUAUAUCUUUAAACAAUAGCAUGUAUCUUUUUUUCUUAUUAAUUAACUAAUUUCUUCUUAUCUCAUUUGCUUUUUAAAACAUGAAGCUGUGUCCGCCUGUUGGACUUCGGGUUCUAAAAAACCACAUUAUAAGCACCCACAUCCUUUUGAGGUUCUAAUCUGUCAAUCUCUCUAUACAUCUUCAUAUUUUCCAUAGUUUCAGUUUUAUUAUAUAUUUAUAAGCAAAAACAAUUAAAUUUUUAAUGUAGAAAAGGAUCAUUAUAACAUCAAACAAUAACCUGACAGCAAAAUAAAUAGCCAACCUGCAUUUAUCAUUUUGAAAUAAUUUUUGGAGCAUUGUGACACCAAAAAUGGUUCAUAAUGGAUCAUUUCACAGCAUAAAAGAUGUAACGACCAAGCUCACUCCAAAUACAAAAAAAUAUCACAAAAAAGUGACCCGUGGUUUACCACGGGUUCUCUCACUAGUUCUCAUUAAAAAUUAUAAUGAUAAUUAUAAAAGGUAACUAAAUGUUUUUCUAAAUUCCCAAUCUUAGUUACUUUAGGAAAAAUGUGAAUUUGAUGCUAACCCGUGAAAUUGCACAUUGCACAUUAUUGGUCGUUAGUGGAGCGUGUGUGGUUAACCGACAUACUAAUAUGGGACUAAUAAAGGAUGGCAAUGGGUAGCUCGUAGAUUAUCAUAGAUCAAUGGAGCGUGUGUGGUUAACCGACACAUUGAUUAGGUGAUAAAUGACUUCGAGAGUACCAAGCUAAUUUUCAUGGUUAUUCACACCUUGUUUGUGAUCCUCGGUAUCCUAGUCACAAACUUGAAGGCAUAAUCGAGAUUAAACAUGCCAUUGAAAAGUUCAAUGAGUCUCAAAAGAUCUAGGAAUUUCAUCUAAAACUUAAUUCGUUUAAAUUUCGUUUCCGUGGUGGAAUUGGUAAAUUGUCAUUUACCUACCGACAAAUAAUUUGCAAUUGGAUUACAACAUCCCUCUUCUGAAUUGUGAAUUAUUUUGUUGGAUCUUAGCCUUAAUAUUUCAUUUGGGUGUUAUAUUGAGGAUUAAAUCAACCUACUUGAAUUUCUUCCGUUGUAGAUGUCUAGUUCUGACAACUGUGGUCUUCUUUAUCCUUUUGGAAAAAGCUUUCCUAAUGAAUAUGAUAUUUCACAUGGCGAUCGAGGUGAAAGAUCAAUCUCUUUGUUGUGCAUUGGUGGAAGUGGAAAUCAUAAUUCUCUUCCUCCACCUCCUCUCGUGAUUCUCCUCGACCCACAUUUUCAUCGACUUGAAAAGUUCAAGGUCACUCAAGCCCUGUUGGCAAACAAACACGAAGAUGGAAAGUCUGUAUGUGCUCACGUCUUGGAGAUGAAGUUGCAUAUUGACAGGCUGGGAAUGCGGGGUGUUGAUGUCUCGAGGAAGCUGACUAUUGACUUGGUUCUUCAAUCACUUCCUAGGUUAUAUAGUGAGUUCAUUAAAGAUUACUAUAUGACAGACCACGACGUGACCCUUAUCGAUCUUACAUAUUUGCUAAUCGGUGCAGAAUCAGCAAUGAUUUGGCACACUGGUCAAGCAAAUUUGAUUGGAAGAUCAAUCUCCCAAACUUCCAUGGAUAUUGACAAUGGUAACAUUGGAAGUCAAUAAAAGUUUUCACUUCCCAAUGGAAAGGGAUCUGCCAAGGUCAAACCGUUUGACCAAAUGGUAAAGAGAAAGGCUAAGUCUGAGAUUGUCCAGUGUACCAUUCCGAAACAUUCUAUUUGUUUCUAUUGCUAAGAGAAGGGGCAUUGGAUGCGAAGCUGCCAUAUUUACCUGAAAGAUCAGAGGGAUGGUAAAGUCAAAAUGUAUGACUCUACUUCAGGAUCAAAGGAAAUAAAUGAAGUUUAAAGGAAGAGUGAGCUGAGUCUGGUUGCGAAGAGAUGGAUUUCGAUCGCAUGGUUCGAUGAUCAAAUUUUUCAGCCGCUGUUUAGGAGUUAUGAUAGAUUGCUUACGGAUACUUAGUAACAUAGUUUUCAUUUGGAAUUGCGUUGUAAGGACAAGUUUUUCC